GCGUGCUUAACACAUGCAAGUCGAACGGAAAGGCCCUGCUUUUGUGGGGUGCUCGAGUGGCGAACGGGUGAGUAACACGUGAGUAACCUGCCCUUGACUUUGGGAUAACUUCAGGAAACUGGGGCUAAUACCGGAUAGGAGCUCCUGCUGCAUGGUGGGGGUUGGAAAGUUUCGGCGGUUGGGGAUGGACUCGCGGCUUAUCAGCUUGUUGGUGGGGUAGUGGCUUACCAAGGCUUUGACGGGUAGCCGGCCUGAGAGGGUGACCGGCCACAUUGGGACUGAGAUACGGCCCAGACUCCUACGGGAGGCAGCAGUGGGGAAUAUUGCACAAUGGGCGGAAGCCUGAUGCAGCAACGCCGCGUGCGGGAUGACGGCCUUCGGGUUGUAAACCGCUUUCGCCUGUGACGAAGCGUGAGUGACGGUAAUGGGUAAAGAAGCACCGGCUAACUACGUGCCAGCAGCCGCGGUGAUACGUAGGGUGCGAGCGUUGUCCGGAUUUAUUGGGCGUAAAGGGCUCGUAGGUGGUUGAUCGCGUCGGAAGUGUAAUCUUGGGGCUUAACCCUGAGCGUGCUUUCGAUACGGGUUGACUUGAGGAAGGUAGGGGAGAAUGGAAUUCCUGGUGGAGCGGUGGAAUGCGCAGAUAUCAGGAGGAACACCAGUGGCGAAGGCGGUUCUCUGGGCCUUUCCUGACGCUGAGGAGCGAAAGCGUGGGGAGCGAACAGGCUUAGAUACCCUGGUAGUCCACGCUGUAAACGGUGGGUACUAGGUGUGGGGUCCAUUCCACGGGUUCCGUGCCGUAGCUAACGCUUUAAGUACCCCGCCUGGGGAGUACGGCCGCAAGGCUAAAACUCAAAGGAAUUGACGGGGCCCCGCACAAGCGGCGGAGCAUGCGGAUUAAUUCGAUGCAACGCGUAGAACCUUACCUGGGUUUGACAUGGAUCGGGAGUGCUCAGAGAUGGGUGUGCCUCUUUUGGGGUCGGUUCACAGGUGGUGCAUGGCUGUCGUCAGCUCGUGUCGUGAGAUGUUGGGUUAAGUCCCGCAACGAGCGCAACCCUUGUUCACUGUUGCCAGCACGUUAUGGUGGGGACUCAGUGGAGACCGCCGGGGUCAACUCGGAGGAAGGUGGGGAUGACGUCAAGUCAUCAUGCCCCUUAUGUCCAGGGCUUCACGCAUGCUACAAUGGCUGGUACAGAGAGUGGCGAGCCUGUGAGGGUGAGCGAAUCUCGGAAAGCCGGUCUCAGUUCGGAUUGGGGUCUGCAACUCGACCUCAUGAAGUCGGAGUCGCUAGUAAUCGCAGAUCAGCAACGCUGCGGUGAAUACGUUCCCGGGGCUUGUACACACCGCCCGUCAAGUCAUGAAAGUUGGUAACACCCGAAGCCGGUGGCCUAACCGUUGUGGGGGAGCCGUCGAAGGUGGGACUGGUGAUUAGGACUAAGACAUA
RNAcentral lists this ribosomal RNA (1441 nucleotides) under uncultured organism. RNAcentral's name for it is "partial small subunit ribosomal RNA". It matches the Rfam family "Bacterial small subunit ribosomal RNA". The record is from RNAcentral.